UACAGAGGUGGCAAGCGUUGUUCGGAAUUACUGGGCGUAAAGGGCGCGUAGGCGGCCUUGUAAGUCCCGUGUGAAAGCCCCCGGCUCAACUGGGGAAUUGCACGGGAAACUGCGGGGCUUGAGUUCGGGAGAGGGAAGCGGAAUUCCGGGUGUAGCGGUGAAAUGCGUAGAUAUCCGGAGGAACACCAGUGGCGAAGGCGACUACCUGGCCUGUUUCUUGACGCUGAGGCGCGAAAGCGUGGGGAGCGAACAGG
RNAcentral lists this ribosomal RNA (254 nucleotides) under uncultured bacterium. RNAcentral's name for it is "partial 16S ribosomal RNA". It matches the Rfam family "Bacterial small subunit ribosomal RNA", at positions 524 to 776 of the family's 1533-position model. The record is from RNAcentral.